This 501-nucleotide ribosomal RNA is filed under the name uncultured bacterium. RNAcentral's name for it is "bacterial SSU rRNA". It matches the Rfam family "Bacterial small subunit ribosomal RNA", at positions 28 to 508 of the family's 1533-position model. The record is from RNAcentral.
GGCUAACGCUGGCGGCGUGUCUUAGCCAUGCAAGUCGAGCGGACUUAUGGGGUAACUUAUAAGUCAGCGGCAGACGGCGGAGUAACACGUAGCUAACCUACCCUCUGGACGGGGGAUAACCUACCGAAAGGUGGGCUAAUACCCGAUGUAGUCAUCCUGUAUAGGGGUGAUGAAAGGUGGGCUUCUGUUUACAAGCUCAUGCUGGAGGAGGGGGCUGCGGCCUAUCAGGUAGUUGGUAGGGUAAUAGCCUACCAAGCCGAUGACGGGUAGCCGGCCUGAGAGGGUGACCGGCCCGAGGGGCACUGAGAUACGGGUCCCACUCCUACGGGAGGCAGCAGGCUAGAAAUUUGGGCAAUGGGGGAAACCCUGACCCAGUGACGCCGCGUGCAGGAAGGAGCCCUUCGGGGUGUAAACUGCUGUCGUGUAGGGAGAAGGGUACUAAGGUGAACAAUCUUAGUACUUUGACGGUACUACAGGAGGAAGCCCAGGCUAACCUCGUGC